GCUAGUAAUCGCGAAUCAGCAUGUCGCGGUGAAUACGUUCCCGGGCCUUGUACACACCGCCCGUCACACCAUGAGAGUUGGCAAUACCCAACGUACGUGAUCUAACCCGCAAGGGAGGAAGCGUCCUAAGGUAGGGUCAGCGAUUGGGGUGAAGUCGUAACAAGGUACC
This 169-nucleotide ribosomal RNA is filed under the name uncultured bacterium. Its description in RNAcentral is "partial 16S ribosomal RNA". It matches the Rfam family "Bacterial small subunit ribosomal RNA", at positions 1334 to 1500 of the family's 1533-position model. The record is from RNAcentral.